Molecule: ribosomal RNA, 470 nt
Filed under: uncultured bacterium
Lineage: Bacteria
Description: partial 16S ribosomal RNA
Rfam family: Bacterial small subunit ribosomal RNA
Source: RNAcentral
GACGAACGCUGGCGGCGUGCUUAACACAUGCAAGUCGAACGGUGAACGAGGGAGCUUGCUCCCUCCGGAUCAGUGGCGAACGGGUGAGUAACACGUGUGCAAUCUGCUUCGAAUUCUGGGAUAAUCGUUGGAAACGAGGUCUAAUACCGGAUACGAUGCUGGUGCGCAGCCUCUCCGGGUGGAAAGAACCGCGGUUCGGGAUGAGCUCGCGGCCUAUCAGCUUGUUGGUGAGGUAACGGCUCACCAAGGUGACGACGGGUAGCCGGCCUGAGAGGGUGACCGGCCACACUGGGACUGAGACACGGCCCAGACUCCUACGGGAGGCAGCAGUGGGGAAUAUUGCACAAUGGGCGGAAGCCUGAUGCAGCAACGCCGCGUGAGGGACGACGGCCUUCGGGUUGUAAACCUCUUUUAGCAGGGAAGAAGCGAAAGUGACGGUACCUGCAGAAAAAGCACCGGCUAACUACGUG